AUACGGAGGGUGCGAGCGUUAAUCGGAAUUACUGGGCGUAAAGCGCGCGUAUGCGGGCUGGUUAGUUGGGGGUGAAAUCCCGAGGCUCAACCUCGGAACUGCCCUCAAUACUGCCAGUCUUGAGUUCGAGAGAGGUGAGUGGAAUUCCUAGUGUAGAGGUGAAAUUCGUAGAUAUUAGGAAGAACACCAGUGGCGAAGGCGGCUCACUGGCUCGAUACUGACGCUGAGGCGCGAAAGCGUGGGGAGCAAACAGGAUUAGAUACCCGUGUAGUCC
This 274-nucleotide ribosomal RNA is filed under the name uncultured bacterium. RNAcentral's name for it is "partial 16S ribosomal RNA". It matches the Rfam family "Bacterial small subunit ribosomal RNA", at positions 523 to 796 of the family's 1533-position model. The record is from RNAcentral.